GAGACCCGUACCCACAGUUGCCAGCGGCUGCUCCGGCAGGCUGGGUACACUAUGGGGACCGCCUCUGCUAAAGAGGAGGAAGGAGCGGGCGACGGUAGGUCAGUAUGCCCCGAAUUCUCCGGGCUACACGCGGGCUACGAUGGAUGGGACAAUGGGCUCCGACACCGAAAGGCGAAGGCGAUCUCUUAAACCCAUUCUUAGUUCGGAUUGAGGGCUGAAACUCGCCCUCAUGAAGCUGGAAUCCGUAGUAAUCGCGUUUCAACAUAGCGCGGUGAAUAC
RNAcentral lists this ribosomal RNA (279 nucleotides) under uncultured archaeon. RNAcentral describes it as "partial 16S rRNA". It matches the Rfam family "Archaeal small subunit ribosomal RNA", at positions 1047 to 1325 of the family's 1478-position model. The record is from RNAcentral.